UCAUAACCUGGAAGGUAGCUGAAUUAUGUUGGUUAUAACAGAGUUACUAUGUCUAGCCCUGGUUCAAGAGGUUGGGCACAGACCUCACCUCUUAAUGAGAGGACUGUCAAAGAAUUUGCAGACAUGCUUGAAAAAUCACCAAACCUCCUUUAUGCUGAUGUUGCUAAGUCAACAUCUCUAGCCUAGUUCUUUCAUGUCAAAUUCAACAUGUUAAAAGCAUAUCUCUGAACUCCUCAAUUCUUUCCUUGGACAUUCCUUUAUCAAUAAAUAGAAGAAUCAUACAUCCAGAUGCUCAAGUCAAAAAUUUAGGAGGCAUUAUUGACAUCUCUCUCUCGUCCCUCCAUCCAAUAUAUCUGACAAUCUUGUACACUCAGCUUCUAAUUUAAAUCCCAUAUUGUACACCCCUCCACUCCCACUACCAGCAGCCCAGUCUAACCCCUCCAUCAUGAUCUCUCACCUGGAUCACUAUAUAACUAGCCUUUUACACUAUAAACCAGAUCAUGUCACUUUCUUGUUUAAUAUACUCCAAUGGUAUCCUGCUGCACAUAAAAUAAAAUCCAAAAUCUAACCCUGGCCUUAAAAGUUCUGAUCAGCCUCCUAUUAUCAUUAAUGCCUGCCUCACUCACAAUGCAUCAGCUGUAUCAACAGUACAGCAAGUACUAAUAUAUCUCAAAGCCUUUGUGCAGGAUGUGUCAUCAAUCUAGAAUGUUUUCCCUUCCUGUCUUGACCUGACUGACUCCUACUCAUCAGUUCUCACCCGAAAGGUCUUGUCUCUCAUGCUUUGUCCUCCAUGAUGAAAAAAGCUAUGUGCUUGCUUCCACUAUAGUCUGUAUUGUUCUUAUUCAUCUCAUUUCAUUGCAAUCUCCUACUACACUAAGCCCUGGGAGGAAGAGCUGUUCAUGUAUACCACUGUGUAGGGCCAAAACCAUGGUCUAAACUCUGAAAAUACUUAUUGAAAAAAAAUAAAUAACUUCUGAGCUGGGCUUUUAAAGGAUGACUCCGAAUUUAUCAAGCAAAGAGGAGAUGGCAUUCAACAUGGAUGCACAAAGACCCAGAAGUGAGAGAGACCAUGAUGAAGUAUAUGGCCAAAUUCAUUUGUCCUAAAUUCCAGGCAUGCAUUCUACCCAUUAGGAUGGAUGGUGAGUAUAAUGACUCUGGACUUAGGAGCUGGUGGUGGAGGACCAUAACCUAUCAUCAUCUAAUUGAGAAUAUGGUUGCAUGCCAUCAUUUUGCUGACUUGUCAUCACAGAAAGUUGGCUUCUAUAGACAAAGAAAGCUAAUAGCAGCACAUAUUGGCCCUAGGCUUGAUGGCUCUAUUCUAGGCCAACUUCCUAAAGACCCAGUCUUAUAUUUUCCCAUCCUUGUAGCCACUUUUCAGCUUUGCUGCACAACACGCACAUUCAUUCCCACUAUUUCAAAGCAUUCAGACCCUCUCUCAGAUCAUUAAAGGGCCAAAUGAAAUGAACAUAAGUCGAUGAAGGAUAACAAUAACACCGCUAGGUCCUGUUGUAGGCUACUCAGCUUUAUUAUAGUCUCAGAACAACCCUGAAGGCUGCACCAGGCUUGGGGCUUGGGACUCUGUAUUGUAGCGGAUGGAGUUUUAUGCCUGAAGGUGUCAUGCUGGGUAAAGGCUCUAUGAUCUUUAUAGAUUUUAAGCUGCGUCCUCUGCCUGAAAUACAUAUCUAGCCCAGAAUUAUACCAUUCCCUUCCCUGCCUUUUAAUGGGAGUAGAACUAGGGAGGUUUAAUAAAUGUUUAUUGGCAAAGUAGAGAGAUAGCUCCUAGUAGAAACAGCAUAAGCCAGAGAAAUCCAAAGUCUUAGUCACUACAUUCUCUCUUUACUGAACAGAUGCUACUGACUCUGAUAUUGUCUAAUCUCCUCGAGCCACAAGCAUGCUGAGCUAGUCUCCUGUAUGAAUUUCAGCCAAAUUUUCCAGGUUUCUGUGGCACUGGCAGGUCUCCUCUAGGUUAAAGUCAGUAGGAAAUGGUGCCCAAGGCUGGUGUUCUGGUAGGUAGUGCUUCACUUGGGAGUCUGUUCUAGGCAUUUUUGGCUUUGGUCAUCUACACUAUAAUCCCCUUAAAGGAGCCAUGAUGACAGAUGCAUCAUGGCUUGAACCUUGGGCAGAUGGCCAUCUCCUCUUAUAAGUAUUAAUAUGUCAUCAUUUGAAAGGCUUUGACUGGGAGUGGUACCCAUCAAAAUGCAUAAGAACUAGAUACCAACAUGGUUGUGGGGAAAGCUGGUGAUGAUUAGAACAAAUGCGAAUGGUCGAAAGACACAGGAACUGGGAGGCAAGAACACUGAGUUCUAAUCUGGGUUAUAACACUGUCAGCUGUAUGAAUUUGGGCAAGUCACUUAAUGUCUAUGUAACAUAAAUAUAAUGAGAAAAAUUUUUCAGAGAACACUAGGAUUAAAUGGAAGAUCACUGGAGUCCUUAAUUGCCAUUCUAUAUAGGGAAUGAAUCUUCUAAUCCAAACACUGUUACUGUGGGUGAAGUCACCAAGAUGGCGAGAUAGAAGUCAUUCUUGAUUUUGCUCUCCCCUCAUGAGAAGAACAAUUAAAAACUACUCAUGGACAAAACACCACUGAGAGAAUCCUAGAACAUGACAGUGAAGGUGACCCCCCCAACCCGUGCACAAUAGAGGCCAAGACAGAUGGUAUUAGAAAGGUAAAAGGAGUGACUACAUGCUGACUGCAUCCCCCUCCACCAGCCCAGUGCAACAUUAUGUAGAAAGAUAUCCUGUGAGCCCAGUUUCUUCAAUGGGAAGAGAGCCCAGGGGUGACAUCCAGCUUACCCCAAGCAUUGUGGAUUGCUUUAUUAGAGCCCCCACUCCGUUUUCUUCCCCAUAGAGAUUGCAGUGGAAUCUGUGGGGCUCAACCACUUGAAAUAUGAUUGUGACAUAGAAGGGGAGAGGGACUUCCAACAGCCAGUACACAGAUCUUGGCAAACCAAGUUCAUAGCUGCAGAGACUAGUAGUUCCCAAUUAGUGGCUUUGCUCUUCUGCAGACCCAAGUCAGUGGUACAGUUUGAACAGGGAACUUGGUGCAGUGAAGGUAUGCUAGAUUUGGGUCCUAGAGUGAGGAGCUUUGUCAGCUUUGGAGCCCAGUCCACCCACACUCAGGCAGGAGAGUUGAGUCAUAGCCUCAGCCACUGCAGAACAUGGCUCCCAGCCCUAUCUUACAGGAAAGGAUGGCAAGAAUACCUAGAAUUUGUGUAAAAAAGCAGGGCUUUAGCUGAGAGUAGAGUAGUCAGAGCUUAGUGACCCCAGAGAAACUUCAGUGGCCCUAUUCAGGCAGGGAGCUUGGGGUAUGAGUCAGCUUGAGUCAUAACCACAAACAGAGAGCCUUAGUCCCUGGAGAGACUUCUUCCACUGCACCCAGGAAGGGAAACUAAUUUGUAGCCACACUUAUUGCUGAAUAUAGCUUUUAGCCUGCCUAGCAGGGAACCUAAUCAGAGUACAUGAGGAGCUGCAUAGCCCAUCCAGCAACCCUGCUUAUAGUGGCACUUGAACUGAGAACACAGCCUGUGGCUUUCCCUGUCUGCAGAGCAAAAUCAGUAGCCUUGCCUGAUCAAGAUAUUCAGUCUAAAUUCUUUCCUGAAUCAGGUACCCAGACAAUAAGUUGAACAGGCCAGGCCCUAGGUCCGAUCCUUCUGACCUGCCAGGGCAGAAAGCUAAUUCACAGUCUCAUUUACUACAUAGUAUAGCACCCAGUCCCAAUGUCUAGGAAGACUGACCAGAGGAUCCAAGCAACCACAGAACCCAUUCUACAGUCUUAUUUGGGCAGAAAACGAAGUCAGCAGUCCUAUCCAGUUGUUCUCGUUCAGUGGCACAACCCCCUUCAUCUCAGAGCUCAAACAGUUGUCUCACCCAAAAACAGACAGGUCCCACCUGCACAAAUAUAUUACCAGAAGAUGCAUUUAGAGACCCAAACUGACCUGACUUGUGAAGAACUGUCUCUGCCAAGACAAAUCUGCAAAGACUGAAAGAGGAGACUACUUAUUCAAAGGCACAAAUUCUAGAGCUGAAAAAUACAAUAACUAAACUGAAGAAUUUGAGAACUUUGAAAACAGACAUAGCCAUGCAGAAGAAAGAAAUCAGUGACCUGGAAAUUAGGACAUUUGAAAUUAUCCUGACAAAGAAGAAAGAUAAAAGAAUGAAAAAGAGUGAAGGAACACUAUGGGACUUAUUGAACACAAUGAAAUGGAAGAAUAUUUGCAUUAUGAG
RNAcentral lists this long non-coding RNA (4222 nucleotides) under Sus scrofa (pig). Its description in RNAcentral is "lncRNA (ENSSSCG00000051947.1)". The record is from RNAcentral. Lineage: Eukaryota; Metazoa; Chordata; Mammalia; Artiodactyla; Suidae.